Molecule: ribosomal RNA, 497 nt
Filed under: uncultured bacterium
Lineage: Bacteria
Description: partial 16S ribosomal RNA
Rfam family: Bacterial small subunit ribosomal RNA
Source: RNAcentral
GAUGAACGCUGGCGGCGUGCCUAAUACAUGCAAGUCGAGCGAACAGACGAGGAGCUUGCUCCUCUGACGUUAGCGGCGGACGGGUGAGUAACACGUGGAUAACCUACCUAUAAGACUGGGAUAACUUCGGGAAACCGGAGCUAAUACCGGAUAAUAUAUUGAACCGCAUGGUUCAAUAGUGAAAGACGGUUUUGCUGUCACUUAUAGAUGGAUCCGCGCCGCAUUAGCUAGUUGGUAAGGUAACGGCUUACCAAGGCGACGAUGCGUAGCCGACCUGAGAGGGUGAUCGGCCACACUGGAACUGAGACACGGUCCAGACUCCUACGGGAGGCAGCAGUAGGGAAUCUUCCGCAAUGGGCGAAAGCCUGACGGAGCAACGCCGCGUGAGUGAUGAAGGUCUUCGGAUCGUAGAACUCUGUUAUUAGGGAAGAACAGAUGUGUAAGUAACUAUGCACGUCUUGACGGUACCUAAUCAGAAAGCCACGGCUAACUACGUG